CCCGCUGAACUUAAGCAUAUCAAUAAGCGGAGGAAAAGAAACUAACAAGGAUUCCCCUAGUAACUGCGAGUGAAGCGGGAAGAGCUCAAAUUUUGAAUCUGGCGGUGUUUGGCCGUCCGAGUUGUAAUCUAGAGAAGCGUCUUCCGCGCUGGACCGUGUACAAGUCUCCUGGAAGGGAGCGUCAUAGAGGGUGAGAAUCCCGUCUUUGACACGGACUACCAGUGCUAUGUGAUGCGCUCUCGACGAGUCGAGUUGUUUGGGAAUGCAGCUCAAAAUGGGUGGUAAAUUCCAUCUAAAGCUAAAUAUAGGCGAGAGACCGAUAGCGAACAAGUACCGUGAGGGAAAGAUGAAAAGCACUUUGGAAAGAGAGUUAAACAGUACGUGAAAUUGCUGAAAGGGAAACGCUUGAAGUCAGUCAUGUCUGCCAGGACUCAGCCUUGCUUCUGCUUGGUGCACUUUCUGGUUUGAUGGGCCAACAUCAAUUUUGACCGUUGGAGAAAGGCUUUGGGAAUGUGGCACCUUUGGGUGUGUUAUAGCCCUUUGUCGUAUACAACGGUUGGGAUUGAGGACUGCAGCACGCCUUUAUGGCCGGGGUUCGCCCACGUACGUGCUCAGGAUGUUGGCAUAAUGGCUUUAAGCGACCCGUCUUGAAACACGG
RNAcentral lists this ribosomal RNA (658 nucleotides) under uncultured fungus. RNAcentral's name for it is "eukaryotic LSU rRNA". It matches the Rfam family "Eukaryotic large subunit ribosomal RNA", at positions 24 to 664 of the family's 3401-position model. The record is from RNAcentral. Lineage: Eukaryota; Fungi.